CCUAACUCAAUGCUACACAAAACCCCCACCUCACAACUAAAACAUUUUAACAUUUUAGUAAAGGCGAUUGAAAAACUACUUGGAGCAACACAACACGUACCGCAAGGGAAAAGUGAAAUAAAAAUGAAAAACUUAAGCACAAAAAAGUAGAGACUGCCCUCGUACCUUUUGCAUCAUGGUUUAACUAGUCUAAUCAAGCGAAACGACUUAAAGUUUGACCCCCCGAAACUAGACGAGCUACUUCAAGGCAGCUUAAUGAGCAAACCCGUCUCUGUUGCAAAAGAGUGGGAAGACCUUCAAGUAGGGGUGACAGACCUAACGAGUCUAGUGAUAGCUGGUUACUCAAGAAAAGAAUUUAAGUUCAACCUAAAAUUAACUAAAUAGCACAAAAUAAUAAAUCUAUUUUAGAGCAAUUCAAAUAAGGUACAGCCUAUUUGAAAAAGGAUACAACCUCAACCACCGGGUAAACCUAAACUGCCCUCAAUAAAGUGGGCCUAAAAGCAGCCAUCUUUCAAAAAGCGUCAAAGCUUAGUCGAGUUACCAACCAAUCCCCACACUACCUAAGAACCCUUACACAAUACUGAGUAAUUCUAUACCCCUAUAGAAGAUUUCAUGUUAAAACUAGUAACAAGAAGAAGAACUUCUCCUAAAAUGCAAGUGUAAGUCAGACAGGACGCCCCACUGACAAUUAACACCUAUGAACAGAAAGUAGUAACUUAACAAGAAAACCCUACUACACCAUGUGUUAACCUAACACUAGAACAUUACAAGAAAGAUUUAAAGAAAAAGAAGGAACUCGGCAAAUUUUAACCUCGCCUGUUUACCAAAAACAUCGCCUCUUGAAAAAUAUAAGAGGUCCAGCCUGCCCAGUGACUCUGUUCAACGGCCGCGGUAUCCUAACCGUGCGAAGGUAGCGUAAUCACUUGUUCUUUAAAUAAGGACUAGUAUGAACGGCACCACGAAGGUUACACUGUCUCCUCUUUCCAAUCAGUGAAACUAAUCUCCCCGUGAAGAAGCGGGGAUAAACAUAUAAGACGAGAAGACCCUAUGGAGCUUUAAACAACACAACACCUGCUCUAAUUUAAUUAACUUUCAGAAAACUCCCAUUUACCAAUGCAGGAUGAUUGUCAGUUUUAGGUUGGGGUGACCGCGGAGCACAAAACAACCUCCACAUUGAAAGGAGCCCAUUCCUUAGCUAAGAGCUACGCCUCCACGCAUCAACAAAAUGACAUUAAUUGACCCAAUAUAUUGAUCAACGAACCAAGUUACCCUAGGGAUAACAGCGCAAUCCACUUUAAGAGCCCCUAUCGACAAGUGGGUUUACGACCUCGAUGUUGGAUCAGGGUAUCCAGGUGGUGCAGCCGCUAUCCAAGAGGUGUCGUGUUGUUCAGAC
Molecule: ribosomal RNA, 1393 nt
Filed under: Centrolene sp. KU 20801
Lineage: Eukaryota; Metazoa; Chordata; Amphibia; Anura; Centrolenidae
Description: partial 16S ribosomal RNA
Rfam family: Bacterial large subunit ribosomal RNA
Source: RNAcentral